Molecule: long non-coding RNA, 386 nt
Filed under: Ananas comosus (pineapple)
Lineage: Eukaryota; Viridiplantae; Streptophyta; Magnoliopsida; Poales; Bromeliaceae
Description: long non-coding RNA (ACOM_LNC017181)
Source: RNAcentral
UUUAUAUAGGAAAAACUUCAGAUACCACCCUUGUGGUUUCACACUUUCUCACUUUAGUACCCUGUGGUUUAAAGUGUAUCAACUUAGUGUUCUGUGGUUUUAUUUUUAUCUUUCUAUUAUCGAUUCUAUUAAUUUUUUUUUGUUAAAUCAGUGAUAAAAUUAAAACUAAAAAGUAUUGAAGUGAAUAUUCGAUAAACUUAGGUGGGAUAUCUGAAGUUUUUUUUGUAUUUAAUUUAAUGAAAUAUUAACGAAAAAAUUGACGAAAAAAUAAAAAUAAAACCACAAGAUACUAACUUGAUACACUUUAAAUCACAUCGUACUAAAAUAAAAAAAUGUGAAGCUACAGGGGUGAUUUUUGAAGUUUAUGCUUUUAUUUAUUUUUAGGG